UCCAAAACGCAACAAUAUUCGUGGAGCAC
Molecule: small RNA, 29 nt
Filed under: Bombyx mori (domestic silkworm)
Lineage: Eukaryota; Metazoa; Arthropoda; Insecta; Lepidoptera; Bombycidae
Description: ovarian small RNA-7123
Source: RNAcentral